Cercocebus atys (sooty mangabey) is the source of this 260-nucleotide long non-coding RNA. RefSeq lists it as uncharacterized. Lineage: Eukaryota; Metazoa; Chordata; Mammalia; Primates; Cercopithecidae. The record is from RefSeq and is a predicted model, not a curated record. The transcript is spliced from 2 exons.
AGGCCAACGGAUAGGUUCUCGCGAGAGGACCCGUCAGCCCCAGCCGGGCGUCGUGCGAACAGCAGCUGGUACCAAAGGCGGAGGUGGAGCCCGAGCGGGAACCAGCGGGGAAACUGAGGCUCGGGGUGGCGAGCCGGACUGUGGGACGCGCUGAGGCUGCUGUCUUUCCCAGCAGCAGCGGAAGAUGUCGGACAGCGAGGACAGCAACUUUUCCGAGGAGGAGGACAGCGAGCGCAGCAGUGACGGCGAGGAGGCCGAGG